RNAcentral lists this ribosomal RNA (497 nucleotides) under uncultured bacterium. RNAcentral describes it as "partial 16S ribosomal RNA". It matches the Rfam family "Bacterial small subunit ribosomal RNA", at positions 28 to 507 of the family's 1533-position model. The record is from RNAcentral.
GAUGAACGCUGGCGGCGUGCCUAAUACAUGCAAGUCGAGCGAACAGAUAAGGAUCUUGCUCCUUUUACGUUAGCGGCGGACGGGUGAGUAACACGUGGAUAACCUACCUAUAAGACUGGGAUAACUUCGGGAAACCGGAGCUAAUACCGGAUCACAUAUUGAACCGCAUGGUUCAAUAGUGAAAGGCGGCUUUGCUGUCACUUAUAGAUGGAUCCGCGCCGUAUUAGCUAGUUGGUAAGGUAACGGCUUACCAAGGCAACGAUACGUAGCCGACCUGAGAGGGUGAUCGGCCACACUGGAACUGAGACACGGUCCAGACUCCUACGGGAGGCAGCAGUAGGGAAUAUUCCGCAAUGGGCGAAAGCCUGACGGAGCAACGCCGCGUGAGUGAUGAAGGUCUUCGGAUCGUAAAACUCUGUUAGCAGGGAAGAACAAAUGUGUAAGUAACUGUGCACAUCUUGACGGUACCUGAUCAGAAAGCCACGGCUAACUACGUG